CCGCUCACACCGAUGUUGCCCCUGGUCGUCUUUACGUCGACAGUUUCAGGGGCCCAUCUAGUUAGCGGCGAGUCACCGCCUGCCUCGAUAACGUGGAAAAACAUUGUUAUGGCAGGUGUCCGGACCUCUUUGCAAUAGCCCAAUCUUUUGACCAGCCAAACUUCAACACCAUAACCGGCACUUUUCUCCACUAUAUUUACAAUAGCCCCUACGCCUGUUGGGACCGAUUUACGGGUAUCUAUGAAUGGGUUCUAGCAGGUGUAUUACAUAACAGCAAACUUCUCCAAAGGGCUUCUACGUGUUGGAUCUGUAUGGACGUGCGCCUAUCAAAUGACCGGGAUGUAUAUACCCGUGAGUUUAUAAGAGAGACAAUAAAUA
This is a long non-coding RNA of Cydia amplana, 378 nucleotides long. RefSeq lists it as uncharacterized. Lineage: Eukaryota; Metazoa; Arthropoda; Insecta; Lepidoptera; Tortricidae. The record is from RefSeq and is a predicted model, not a curated record. The transcript has 2 exons.